UGGGGAAUAUUGCACAAUGGGCGGAAGCCUGAUGCAGCGACGCCGCGUGAGGGAUGACGGCCUUCGGGUUGUAAACCUCUUUCAGUAGGGACGAAGCGUAAGUGACGGUACCUACAGAAGAAGCGACGGCUAAAUACGUGCCAGCAGCCGCGGUAAUACGUAUGUCGCGAGCGUUAUCCGGAAUUAUUGGGCUUAAAGGGCAUCUAGGCGGUUAAACAAGUUGAAGGUGAAAACCUGUGGCUCAACCAUAGGCUUGCCUACAAAACUGUAUAACUAGAGUACUGGAAAGGUGGGUGGAACUACACGAGUAGAGGUGAAAUUCGUAGAUAUGUGUAGGAAUGCCGAUGAUGAAGAUAACUCACUGGACAGCAACUGACGCUGAAGUGCGAAAGCUAGGGGAGCAAACAGG
This 409-nucleotide ribosomal RNA is filed under the name Verrucomicrobiota bacterium. Its description in RNAcentral is "Verrucomicrobia bacterium partial 16S ribosomal RNA". It matches the Rfam family "Bacterial small subunit ribosomal RNA", at positions 355 to 776 of the family's 1533-position model. The record is from RNAcentral. Lineage: Bacteria; Pseudomonadati; Verrucomicrobiota.